CCUGGCGGUCAUAGCGAGCGGGAACCACCCGAUCCCAUUCCGAACUCGGAAGUGAAAACGCUCUGCGCCGAUGGUAGUGUGGCCGUAGGCCAUGCCAGAGUAGGUCGCUGCCAGGG
RNAcentral lists this ribosomal RNA (116 nucleotides) under Pseudomonadota bacterium. The record is from RNAcentral. RNAcentral also lists the same sequence under 1 other name. Lineage: Bacteria; Pseudomonadati; Pseudomonadota.